UACAGAGGGUGCGAGCGUUAAUCGGAAUUACUGGGCGUAAAGCGUGCGUAGACGGUUAUUUAAGUCGGGUGUGAAAGCCCCGGGCUCAACCUGGGAAUUGCAUUCGAGACUGAAUAGCUAGGGUACGGUAGAGGGAAGUGGAAUUUCCGGUGUAGCGGUGAAAUUCGUAGAUAUCGGGAGGAACACCAGUGGCGAAGGCGACUACCUGGCCUGUUUCUUGACGCUGAGGCGCGAAAGCUAGGGGAGCAAACGGG
Molecule: ribosomal RNA, 254 nt
Filed under: uncultured bacterium
Lineage: Bacteria
Description: partial 16S ribosomal RNA
Rfam family: Bacterial small subunit ribosomal RNA
Source: RNAcentral